UAAAUACUCCCAUGAGACCGAUAGUGAACCAGUACCGUGAGGGAAAGGUGAAAAGAACCUCGAUGAGAGGAGUGCAAUAGAUCCUGAAACCAUACGCCUACAAGCGGUCGGAGCUGCUUUAUGCAGUGACGGCGUGCCUUUUGCAUAAUGAACCUACGAGUUACCGUCACCGGCAAGGUUAAGGAUAUUGAUAUCCGUCAACCGUAGUGAAAGCGAGCCUGAACAGGGCGUUUUAGUCGGUGGAGGUAGACGCGAAACCAAGUGAUCUACACAUGUCCAGGUUGAAGUCUCGGUAACACGAGAUGGAGGACCGCACCAAUAAGCGUUGAAAAGCUUCUGGAUGAGGUGUGUGUAGGAGUGAAAGGCCAAUCAAACUUGGAGAUAGCUCGUACUCCCCGAAAGGCAUUUAGGUGCCGCGUGCUAUGAUUUACAUAAGAGGUAGAGCGACCGAUAGGUCAAGAGGGCUUCACCGCCUAUCGCGACCUGACGAACUCCGAAUGCUUAUGUAUAGCAGUAGUGCAGUAAGGGGGCGGGUGCUAAGGUCCGUCCCCGAGAGGAGAAGAAUCCAGACCGCCGUCUAAGGUCCCUGAAUUCUGUCUAAGUUAGUCUAACGAAGUCCGGUCCCCGUGACAGCUAGGAUGUUGGCUUGGAAGCAGCCAUUCAUUCAAAGAGUGCGUAACAGCUCACUAGUCGAGGGUCUGGGCAUGGAUAAUAAUCGGGUAUAAGACAGAUACCGAAGGCGCGGGAUAGUAAUGAUAAAAGUAUCGGUAGGGGAGCAUUCUAUAUACGUUGAAUGGUUAAGGUAACUUUUCCUGGAGUGUAUAGAAAAGCAAAUGUAGGUAUAAGUAACGAUAAGAAGGGUAAGAUUCCCUUCCGCCGCAAGACUAAGGUUUCCCGGGCAAUGCCAAUCAUCCCGGGGUUAGUCGGGUCCUAAGUCUCAGCCGACAGGCGAGGGCGAUGGCAGACACGGUUAAUAUUCCGUGACUGCUGCAUGAUGCGAUUGUGGAGACGGAGAAGUGACACCACCGCGAGCUGACGGAAUAGCUCGUUGAAGAAAUUAGGCAUUGAUCAUGGUAGGCAAAUCCGCCAUGAGAGCUGAGUUUUGAAAGUAUGGCAUUCCCUUCGGGGAAAGCCAAUAGUGUGGGUAAUCCUGCUUCCAAGAAAAUCCGCUAAGCUUCAGUCAUGCAGCACCCGUACCGCAAACGGACACACGUAGUCGGGUUGAAUAUACUCAGGCGUUGAGAGAUUCAUGGUUAAGGAACUAGGCAAAUUAACCCCGUAACUUCGGGAAAAGGGGUCCUCGUUUACUUACGAGGCGCAGAGAAUAGGUCCAGGCAACUGUUUACCAAAAACACAGGGCUGUGCUAACUCGAAAGAUGAAGUAUACAGUCUGACACCUGCCCGGUGCUGGAAGGUUAAGAGGAGAGGUUAUACGCAAGUAGAAGCUUUGAAUUGAAGCCCCAGUAAACGGCGGCCGUAACUAUAACGGUCCUAAGGUAGCGAAAUUCCUUGUCGGGUAAGUUCCGACCUGCACGAAUGGUGUAAUGAUCUGGACACUGUCUCAAUCAUGAUCUCAGUGAAAUUGUAGUAUCGGUGAAGAUGCCGAUUACCCGCGAUGGGACGAAAAGACCCCGUGAACCUUUACUAUAGCUUAGCAUUGACCUUGGUCAUCCGAUGUGUAGGAUAGGCCGGAGGCUUAGAAGGAGGCGCGCCAGCGCUUUUGGAGCCAUCGUUGAAAUACGGCCCUUUGGCUGUCUGAGGUCUAACGCGCUUGAAGUGCGGACACUGCUUGGUGGGUAGUUUGACUGGGGUGGUCGCCUCCAAAAGCGUAACGGAGGCUUCCAAAGGUGCCCUCAGGUCGAUUGGUAACCGACCUUUUAGAGUGCAAUGGCAUAAGGGCGCUUGACUGGGAGGCAGACAUGCCGAGCAGGCAGGAAACUGGGGCAUAGUGAUCCGGUGCAUGUGUAUGGAAA
RNAcentral lists this ribosomal RNA (1973 nucleotides) under Hoylesella timonensis. RNAcentral's name for it is "bacterial LSU rRNA". It matches the Rfam family "Bacterial large subunit ribosomal RNA", at positions 467 to 2439 of the family's 2925-position model. Lineage: Bacteria; Pseudomonadati; Bacteroidota; Bacteroidia; Bacteroidales; Prevotellaceae. The record is from RNAcentral.